CAAUUCCGAUGAACAAAUAAGGUUUUACAUGUAAGAUGGUUAAAUAAAGAGCAAAAUAAUUGAUCAUUAUUAUAUUAUUAUUUGUGCCCUGGUCCUAUAAGAACUCUUUGUCACUUCCCACGAGCCGGAUUGUGACAAAACCUCACACUCAUUCUUAUGUUUAAUAAAUGUAUCGUAUAGUGUGUGUGUGGCAGACUUACAAUGACGGCAACAACAACAUUUGAGAGUGCCCUGAUCCUGGUGCUAGAGGGGGUACAGCUGGAGGGUGAAUGUUUGAAGGGGUACAGCUGGAGGGUGAAUGUUUGAAGGGGUACAGCUGGAGGUUGAAUGUUUGAAGGGGUACAGCUGGAGGGUGAAUGUUUGAAGGGGUACAGCUGGAGGGUGAAUGUUUGAAGGGGUACAGCUGGAGGGUGAAUGUUUGAAGGGGUACAGCUGGAGGGUGAAUGUUUGAAGGGGUACAGCUGGAGGGUGAAUGUUUGAAGGGGUACAGCUGGAGGGUGAAUGUUUGAAGGGGUACAGCUGGAGGUUGAAUGUUUGAAGGGGUACAGCUGGAGGGUGAAUGUUUGAAGGGGUACAGCUGGAGGGUGAAUGUUUGAAGGGGUACAGCUGGAGGGUGAAUGUUUGAAGGGGUACAGCUGGAGGGUGAAUGUUUGAAGGGGUACAGCUGGAGGGUGAAUGUUUGAAGGGGUACAGCCGGAGGUUGAAUGUUUGAAGGGGUACAGCUGGAGGGUGAAUGUUUGUUUGUUUAAUUAGUUAAAACCUGCAUUUCCCACUAGCAUGGCAUGUUUCAUUCAAG
RNAcentral lists this long non-coding RNA (796 nucleotides) under Salmo salar (Atlantic salmon). RNAcentral's name for it is "lncRNA (ENSSSAG00000118049.1)". Lineage: Eukaryota; Metazoa; Chordata; Actinopteri; Salmoniformes; Salmonidae. The record is from RNAcentral.